This is a non-coding RNA of Jatropha curcas, 873 nucleotides long. The record is from RefSeq and is a predicted model, not a curated record. Lineage: Eukaryota; Viridiplantae; Streptophyta; Magnoliopsida; Malpighiales; Euphorbiaceae.
UAUGGGUUUGAUAUAAAUAGGAAAUGUUGUUUUUGAGUUUUAGGGUUUUCUUUGAUUUAGAACGGCAGCUUCUUUGUUUUUGAGUUUUAGGGUUUUCUUUGUGUUUGGCUUUAUGUUUGGCUCAUGUUCGUUCAAACUGCCUCUCACUUUCAGAGGCUACUACAAGCAGGUUUUUAAGCAGGUUGAGCCACAGUUGUAAAGCAACCAAAGCGAAGCUGACAUAUCACUUGCCGACCCAUCAUCUGUUUCAUAUCGGAUCUCUUUUGUCUCUAUCGUUAAAAUCUUUCCCCACUCUAAAGUACAGCUCUGAUAUAGCAGCAAUGGCUAAAUUGUUUCAAGAAUGCAGAUGGAGGAGCUGGCUACUGGUACUGCGGUUGAAGAGCAGGACUGCUGCGGAGGCGACGGCCACGCACGGAGCGACCGGGAUUUUCUAGAUUCAGCAUAGAUAUCAAGAAACUGAAGCUAAAAUCUCUAAGAAAGCACAUUGGCCUAGUUCAACAAGAGCCAGCUCUUUUUGCAACAUCAAUCUAUGAAAACAUCUUAUAUGGGAAAGAAGGAGCCUUUGAAGCAGAAGUGAUUGAAGCUGCCAAACUUGCAAAUGCUCAUAGUUUCAUUAGUUCUCUUCCAGAGGGUUACUCAACGAAAGUCGGUGAGCGAGGGGUGCAACUAUCUGGAGGGCAGAAGCAAAGAGUGGCUAUUGCUAGAGCAGUUCUAAAGAACCUAGAAAUAUUACUAUUAGAUGAAGCAACUAGUGCUUUAGAUGUGGAGUCGGAGCGAGUUGUGCAGCAAGCUUUAGAUCGAUUGUCUUUAAGAUUAUUGAUGACUCGAUACUCCAAUCCUUUAUUAACUUCGUUGACUUUUGAAAUUUGAUUG